CGGCGGACGGGUUAGUAACGCGUGGGAACGUGCCCUUUGCUCUGGAAUAGCCCUGGGAAACUGGGGGUAAUACCGGAUGUGCCCUGAGGGGGAAAGAUUUAUCGGCAAGGGAUCGGCCCGCGUCUGAUUAGGUAGUUGGUGAGGUAACGGCUCACCAAGCCGACGAUCGGUAGCUGGUUUGAGAGGAUGAUCAGCAACACUGGGACUGAGACACGGCCCAGACUCCUACGGGAGGCAGCAGUGGGGAAUCUUAGACAAUGGGCGCAAGCCUGAUCUAGCCAUGCCGCGUGGGUGAUGAAGGCCUUAGGGUCGUAAAGCCCUUUCGCCGGGGAAGAUAAUGACGGUACCCGGUAAAGAAACCCCGGCUAACUCCGUGCCAGCAGCCGCGGUAAUACGGAGGGGGUUAGCGUUGUUCGGAAUGACUGGGCGUAAAGCGCGCGUAGGCGGAUCAUCAAGUCGGGGGUGAAAUCCCGGGGCUCAACCCCGGAAUGGCCUUCGAGAC
This 502-nucleotide ribosomal RNA is filed under the name uncultured Rubellimicrobium sp. RNAcentral describes it as "bacterial SSU rRNA". It matches the Rfam family "Bacterial small subunit ribosomal RNA", at positions 96 to 633 of the family's 1533-position model. The record is from RNAcentral. Lineage: Bacteria; Pseudomonadati; Pseudomonadota; Alphaproteobacteria; Rhodobacterales; Roseobacteraceae.